Molecule: ribosomal RNA, 219 nt
Filed under: Rhizophagus sp. (in: glomeromycetes)
Lineage: Eukaryota; Fungi; Glomeromycota; Glomeromycetes; Glomerales; Glomeraceae
Description: Rhizophagus sp. (in: Fungi) partial large subunit ribosomal RNA
Source: RNAcentral
AAACGAUUGAAGCCAGUCGUACCGGCGGGUAAUCAGCCUUUUGGGUGUGAUUAUGUGGGGUGUGAGGAGCUAAUCACCUUCAUGCCUGCAUAUUCGUGCACUUUGGGUGUACUUGCUCGUGUGGUAGGUUAACAUCAAUUUUGAUCGUCAUAAAAUGGUUGGAGGAAUGUAGCUUCGAUCUCGUAUUGAAGUGUUAUAGCCUCCGGCAGAUGUGAUGAU